GACGAACGCUGGCGGCGUGCUUAACACAUGCAAGUCGAACGGAAAGGCCCUGCUUUUGUGGGGUGCUCGAGUGGCGAACGGGUGAGUAACACGUGAGUAACCUGCCCUUGACUUUGGGAUAACUUCAGGAAACUGGGGCUAAUACCGGAUAGGAGCUCCUGCUGCAUGGUGGGGGUUGGAAAGUUUCGGCGGUUGGGGAUGGACUCGCGGCUUAUCAGCUUGUUGGUGGGGUAGUGGCUUACCAAGGCUUUGACGGGUAGCCGGCCUGAGAGGGUGACCGGCAACAUUGGGAAUGAGAGACGGCCCAGACUCAUACGGGAGGCAGAAGGGGGGAAGAUUGCACAAUGGGCGGAAGCCGGAUGCAGCAACGCCGCGUGCGGGAUGACGGCCUUCGGGUUGUAAACCGCUUUCGCCUGUGACGAAGCGUGAGUGACGGUAAUGGGUAAAGAAGCACCGGCUAACUACGUG
This 468-nucleotide ribosomal RNA is filed under the name uncultured bacterium. RNAcentral describes it as "partial 16S ribosomal RNA". It matches the Rfam family "Bacterial small subunit ribosomal RNA", at positions 28 to 507 of the family's 1533-position model. The record is from RNAcentral.